CCAACCCUAAUCAUUCUAACCAAAUAGCCGCCCUAAGAUCCCAUUCGUCUCUCAAAUCCCCUCAAGCCUCUCCAAAACCCUAGCCAUAUUUUAUCGAUCUCCAACCUUGUUUUACCGGAGACUAUGGCUUCUCAGACCUUGAGCAUCCUGUACCUACCCCUACAUACCUCUAUGCUCUAAUUGCUCGAGGUUUCAUAGUCCGACUUUGAAGACCUCAGCUCAAAAUCUCUCUGAUUCAAGUUCUAUGGUCAUCUCCGGCUCAUAUCCGACGAGUCUUAGCCCUAUGAGUCCAUCUCCAACUCAGGGCCAGCCCGUUCCAGGACUUUCUCAUUUUCUAGGGUUUUCUCUGAAGCCCUAAG
RNAcentral lists this long non-coding RNA (359 nucleotides) under Nicotiana benthamiana. RNAcentral describes it as "long non-coding RNA (NBEN_LNC011412)". Lineage: Eukaryota; Viridiplantae; Streptophyta; Magnoliopsida; Solanales; Solanaceae. The record is from RNAcentral.